RNAcentral lists this ribosomal RNA (497 nucleotides) under uncultured bacterium. RNAcentral's name for it is "partial 16S ribosomal RNA". It matches the Rfam family "Bacterial small subunit ribosomal RNA", at positions 28 to 507 of the family's 1533-position model. The record is from RNAcentral.
GAUGAACGCUGGCGGCGUGCCUAAUACAUGCAAGUCGAGCGAACGGACGAGAAGCUUGCUUUUCUGAUGUUAGCGGCGGACGGGUGAGUAACACGUGGAUAACCUACCUAUAAGACUGGGAUAACUUCGGGAAACCGGAGCUCAUACCGGAUAAUAUUUUGAACCGCAUGGUUCAAAAGUGAAAGACGGUCUUGAUGUCACUUAUAGAUGGAUCCGCGCUGCAUUAGCUAGUUGGUAAGGUAACGGCUUACCAAGGCAACGAUGCAUAGCCGACCUGAGAGGGUGAUCUGCCACACUGGAACUGAGACACGGUCCAGACUCCUACGGGAGGCAGCAGUAGGGAAUCUUCCGCAAUGGGCGAAAGCCUGACGGAGCAACGCCGCGUGAGUGAUGAAGGUCUUCGGAUCGUAAAACUCUGUUAUUAGGGAAGAACGUAUGUGUAAGUAACUGUGCACAUCUUGACGGUACCUAAUCAGAAAGCCACGGCUAACUACGUG